GAUGAACGCUGGCGGCGUGCCUAAUACAUGCAAGUCGAGCGAACAGACGAGGAGCUUGCUCCUCUGACGUUAGCGGCGGACGGGUGAGUAACACGUGGAUAACCUACCUAUAAGACUGGGAUAACUUCGGGAAACCGGAGCUAAUACCGGAUAAUAUAUUGAACCGCAUGGUUCAAUAGUGAAAGACGGUUUUGCUGUCACUUAUAGAUGGAUCCGCGCCGCAUUAGCUAGUUGGUAAGGUAACGGCUUACCAAGGCAACGAUGCGUAGCCGACCUGAGAGGGUGAUCGGCCCCACUGGAACUGAGACACGGUCCAGACUCCUACGGGAGGCAGCAGUAGGGAAUUUUCCGCAAUGGGCGAAAGCCUGACGGGGCAACGCCGCGUGAGUGAUGAAGGUCUUCGGAUCGUAAAACUCUGUUAUUAGGGAAGAACAAAUGUGUAAGUAACUAUGCACGUCUUGACGGUACCUAAUCAGAAAGCCACGGCUAACUACGU
This 496-nucleotide ribosomal RNA is filed under the name uncultured bacterium. RNAcentral's name for it is "partial 16S ribosomal RNA". It matches the Rfam family "Bacterial small subunit ribosomal RNA", at positions 28 to 506 of the family's 1533-position model. The record is from RNAcentral.